This 108-nucleotide microRNA precursor is filed under the name Canis lupus familiaris (dog). RNAcentral's name for it is "mir-8834 microRNA precursor family". It matches the Rfam family "mir-8834 microRNA precursor family". The record is from Rfam by way of RNAcentral. Lineage: Eukaryota; Metazoa; Chordata; Mammalia; Carnivora; Canidae.
AGGAGGAACAACCCCAGUGCUGGCGGCGAGCUCUGGAGCCCUGGAUUCAGCCCCCCAACAGUAACUCCGGAGCUCUCUAUCUGCAGGGCUUGGAGGCUCCGGGGCGGG